This 844-nucleotide long non-coding RNA is filed under the name Helianthus annuus (common sunflower). Its description in RNAcentral is "hypothetical non coding rna". The record is from RNAcentral. Lineage: Eukaryota; Viridiplantae; Streptophyta; Magnoliopsida; Asterales; Asteraceae.
AUGAAAAUUUUUGAUAUCUGUAUGAGUGACACAUCAGCCUGUCCAGGUUGGGGCGUUACACUUUCUCUCUCUAAACACACACUCUUUUUCUCCCCUCUCUCCUAGCAACCACCCACCACCUGCAUUUGCCAGAACCAUCAUCCUUCAUGGUUACUUUUUUGCAAACUUGACUAAACUCAAGGGCUUCUAGAAAUCUAACGAAAAUAUAUAAACCACAAACUGAAACUACAUAAACCAUCGCCGACACCACCGGUGCCACCCCUUCCACCAACGUCGUUUCCCGGUGAGAACCUUUUCCGCUUUUAAUAUAUAUAUAUUUUUACUUUAUACAACACGCAUGAUUAUAUGACAAAGUAGUCAAAUGAUAUGCGAAUGAGUUAAUAUGUAUUUUUUUUCUUUUAAGAUAGUUUUUUUUUAAAUAAUACGGUAUAAAGACAAUUGUACCCUCAUAUGCCUUGCAGAUAAUCUUAUUCAACUUUAAAAAUUAACUGAGUUAGAGCUAAAAGACAUAACAUGUAGAAUUUUGAAACAUUAAGUACAAAACUCAUCAAUUUUAAAGAUAAAAGGCACCACCUGAAAUUUGAUAUAUAAAGGACAACACUUGCAAUUUACUCUGAUACUUAAAAAUUAGUAGAUUUUGCUUUUUCGGGUAAUUUAAUUCAAAUGUAUAAUUAUUAUUACUAUUAUAAAUAUAAUAGAAUUGAACUGUUUUAGUAAGUCUUAGUAUAAAAAUAUCAUUACCAUUAUUUUUAAGAAGCAAUAUUGUCAUUAUAUGAUAUUAAUAUGAUUUAAAAAAUAUAAAAAAAACAAUUUUGAUUAGAAAACAAUUUUUUAGGGAUGAUAU